GCUAGCGGCAGGCCUAACACAUGCAAGUCGAGGGGUAGAACACUUCGGUGUUUGAGACCGGCGCACGGGUGCGUAAGGCGUAUGCAAUCUACCUUAUACAGGGGAAUAGCCCAGAGAAAUUUGGAUUAAUGCCCCAUAGUGUUAUCGAAUCGCAUGGUUUGAUAACUAAAGUUCCAACGGUAUAAGAUGAGCAUGCGUCCCAUUAGUUAGUUGGUAAGGUAACGGCUUACCAAGACAAUGAUGGGUAGGGGUCCUGAGAGGGAGAUCCCCCACACUGGUACUGAGACACGGACCAGACUCNUACGGGAGGCAGCAGUGAGGAAUAUUGGUCAAUGGUCGCAAGACUGAACCAGCCAUGCCGCGUGCAGGAAGACGGUCCUAUGGAUUGUAAACUGCUUUUAUACAGGAAGAAACCCUCCCACGUGUGGGAGCUUGACGGUACUGUAGGAAUAAGGAUCGGCUAACUCCGUGCCAGCAGCCGCGGUAAUACGGAGGAUCCAAGCGUUAUCCGGAAUCAUUGGGUUUAAAGGGUCCGUAGGCGGUCUUAUAAGUCAGUGGUGAAAGCCCAUCGCUCAACGAUGGAACUGCCAUUGAUACUGUAAGACUUGAAUACUUAGGAAGUAACUAGAAUAUGUAGUGUAGCGGUGAAAUGCUUAGAUAUUACAUGGAAUACCAAUUGCGAAGGCAGGUUUACUACUAAGUGAUUGACGCUGAUGGACGAAAGCGUGGGGAGCGAACAGGAUUAGAUACCCUGGUAGUCCACGCCGUAAACGAUGGAUACUAGCUGUUCGGCGCAAGUUGAGUGGC
Molecule: ribosomal RNA, 807 nt
Filed under: uncultured Flavobacteriales bacterium
Lineage: Bacteria; Pseudomonadati; Bacteroidota; Flavobacteriia; Flavobacteriales
Description: bacterial SSU rRNA
Rfam family: Bacterial small subunit ribosomal RNA
Source: RNAcentral